CUUCUUAUAGGUACAAGUUUCUAACCAUAAACCAUUUCUGACAUCUUUUAAUAUAUUUUUCUUCAAUUCCUACCAAUCGGCUUGCCAUUCUCUCAUAUGUACUUGAAGAAUCUAGUCGGGACAUAAUCUCUUUGAACAAUGGUGGUUCACCAUUGUUCAAAUACACACGUUUUAAAGAGAAAUAGAUCAGAAAAGAAGAAAAGGAACAGAUUCUGACAGAGGAAGGGAAAAGGAAACAAUAAAAAGGUAAGUUUGAGGUGACAGAGCCACUUUAAUGCCAACAUUGCCAAACUGAAAACAAAACUGAUGCGAAGAAUUAUUUGAAUUCCAAUUUUUUUAUCAUCAUUAAUUUUGAUUUUCUUUUUUUUUUUUUUAAAUACUUUAAAUUCCCAGAAAUUCUAGUUUAGUAACCCUUUAGGUUUACCAAGUGUGAAUCACAACAUACUGACCACACAGUAUAAUCAACUUGCGAGAAUGUAAAAUGUGUUAUGUACAACCGAAGGGGCUUAAGGCCAGGUUACAAUAUAUUUAUUCAAUUCUAG
Non-coding RNA from Pelobates cultripes (western spadefoot toad), 542 nucleotides. Lineage: Eukaryota; Metazoa; Chordata; Amphibia; Anura; Pelobatidae. The record is from the annotation of a GenBank genome assembly.